GCGAACAGACGAGGAGCUUGCUCCUCUGACGUUAGCGGCGGACGGGUGAGUAACACGUGGAUAACCUACCUAUAAGACUGGGAUAACUUCGGGAAACCGGAGCUAAUACCGGAUAAUAUAUUGAACCGCAUGGUUCAAUAGUGAAAGACGGUUUUGCUGUCACUUAUAGAUGGAUCCGCGCCGCAUUAGCUAGUUGGUAAGGUAACGGCUUACCAAGGCAACGAUGCGUAGCCGACCUGAGAGGGUGAUCGGCCACACUGGAACUGAGACACGGUCCAGACUCCUACGGGAGGCAGCAGUAGGGAAUCUUCCGCAAUGGGCGAAAGCCUGACGGAGCAACGCCGCGUGAGUGAUGAAGGUCUUCGGAUCGUAAAACUCUGUUAUUAGGGAAGAACAAAUGUGUAAGUAACUAUGCACGUCUUGAC
RNAcentral lists this ribosomal RNA (425 nucleotides) under Staphylococcus epidermidis. RNAcentral describes it as "bacterial SSU rRNA". It matches the Rfam family "Bacterial small subunit ribosomal RNA", at positions 66 to 473 of the family's 1533-position model. The record is from RNAcentral. Lineage: Bacteria; Bacillati; Bacillota; Bacilli; Caryophanales; Staphylococcaceae.